AUGCGAAAUUUGGGGAAGCGCGCGAAGCGGGGCGGACCGCGGUGUUCGGACGGGACAGGGCAUAGACGCCUCGAUCCCCGCGCCGCUUUUUUCGCCAUGUAUCGCGUCCGCGUAACUGUUCAGGAUAUGAUUAGAUCGACCGGGCCCACCUGUCAUCCACUCGGAAGGGAUCUUAUAAAUGCGCCCGGCGAGGGUUUUUUGAACAGUGCCUCAGCAUUCUCCCUCUGUUCCCUUCGUCUCCGCCCAACGCGCUCGCUCCCGCCUCCGCACAACCUCCCCUCGCGCGUCCCGCCGGCAGCCAUGGUCAAGGAGAAGACGGCGGCGUUGGAACGCGCGAAGAAGGCGUCGGCGAUGGAGAAGGCGAAGGGGAGAUCCACUAGUCGUGGCGGGUCUUCGUCUAGAUCUCGCCUGCCGAAAGGCUGGGUCCAGGGAGAUUGGAUCCAGUCGACCAUCACGGAGAAGGAUCUCCUCGACAUGGCCAACGAGGGCCUGAUUCCCCAUGGAGCUGCGAGGCUUCCGGGGAAAGAGUGGCAGCCCCAGCCGGAAGAGGGUGAGUGCGUGCUUCUGGCUACCCAUGUCGACCGCGGAUUUUUUUUGCCGCCGAGCAUUUUCUUCCGUGGUUUCUUGAACUUUUUUGGAGCGCAACUCCACCACUUCACCCCUAAUUCUAUCGCCUAUCUUGCCGCGUUUGUGUCCAUGUGUGAGAGUUUCCUGGGUUGUCGACCGCAUUGGGGUUUGUUCAAGCACAUAUUCACGUGUCGCUCUCAGACCGUGAAGAAGGCGAGCCCAGGCGACGAAAAAACCCGAGUUGUCCAAAUGUGUGGGGGUCUGGGGAUCCAGAUGAGGAACAAGAGCACCUUCCCAGCCAUGACAUUUCCCGAGUCAGUCAGAGGCUGGCAGUCGACCUGGUUCUACUGCCAGGAUCAGUCGACGUCGGGGCAGUCGAGUGGACUCCCUCAGUUCACCAUGGGCCGAGUGAACAAGCCCUCCUCUCUGAAGGUGAUUCCGAAGGAGAAAGCUGACGUGAAGAUGCUGAUGGAGCGUGUAGUUCAGUUGGUUCGGGAGGGAGUGACGGGUAUGGAUCUCCUGGAGGUUUUUCUUAGGCGUCGUAUCCAGCCUCUUCAGUUCCGGAGCCAUUGCAUGUGGUUGUACUGCGGGACUGAGGAUGUGACUCGGGUCAAUCCAGAAGCAGUCGACGAUGCCACUCUGGAAAGGUGGAUGGCCGCUGUUACUGGGAACAAGGAUAACCCUCACGGAGCCAGAAGGAUUCCUCCACUCGACUGCCACAGUGAUCCAAACAAGGCCCUCACUGAGCUGUACUCGAUGCCCAAUGGAGCACAGGCUCCGACCGAGGAGGGAGAAGCGAGCGGGGGCGAGAGCCAGGAGGAGGAGUGGGACUCGGACGCCGCUGAGGAUGAUGAUGAUGAUGAUGACGAUGAUGACGAUGAUGAUGAGGACGAGGAAGAGGAGGAGGAGGAGGAGGUCGCACCACCGCGCUCGGAAAGGCGGUCAAAACUUGUCCAUGACCCUGCGACUGAACGUGGCAAGGGGGUUGCGACUGUUACGCAGUCGACCAAGCGCCCUCGGACCACCUCUCCGGCGCCGACUGAAAAGGCGUCGAAGCAGCCCAGGGCGGCCCCGUCAAAGCCGACCAAGCUCCUGCCGAAGAUGAAGGUGUCCAUCCCCACCAUAUCAGGUGUUGCUACUUCUGAGACCUCAGCCCGGGCUGACGACCAUGAGAUGGAGGACGCAACAACCUCAAAACCUGCUCCAUCCAAUGUUGUUAUCACUCUCCCUGAUGAUGAUGAAGAUGAGGAGCCGCUGAAGCACAGAAGGAGUAGGAAAGCGUCUGCCGGCAGGGUGCCCCAGGAUGUGACGGUGCCUGAGACUCUGGUCGCAGAGGAGGAAAACACCACUCGACACACUGUGUCCUUCGCAGAUCCACUGAAGAGUGCUCUGCAGCCCUUCCUCUUCACGACGCACCACGUCCCAGAGGACCAAGCUGAUGCCGCGAAGGAGGCGAUACGCCAGGCAGGGAUCAUGAUGGAGCAGUUGAAGACCAUCCGGGAUGCGAGCCAGGCAGCUUACGAUGCCAGUUCCGCCCUUCAAAGCAAUGUUCAGAGAUCCUGUGACCUUGCGGCUCGCUACACUGAGCUGGAAAACAAGCACAUUCAGCUCGAGCUGGAUUUGAAGCUGGCUCAGGAGAAUCUGACGAAGGCAAAGGAGGAGACCAAAGGUAAGGUGAAGGAGGCCCAACAGAAAAAAGACCUUGAACUAGCUGAGAGGAUCAAGCUUGCUGACGAGAAGUUAGCUUCAGUCACCAAGCUUGAACAAGAAAAUACCAAUCUGAAAGCUGCUCUUGGGAAGAAAAAUGAUCUGGAGGCCUUCCUGAAUGGUCUUGCCAAGAAGCUAUUCCUUAUGCUUGAAGAAUUUUGUCAAGACUUUGAAGAAGAGACUAGCCAGCUGGAACCAAACCUUGACCCCGUCAAUUCUCCGGUGAACGACGAAGUUGCCAUGAAUGUUUUCUGA
Molecule: ribosomal RNA, 2529 nt
Filed under: Triticum aestivum (bread wheat)
Lineage: Eukaryota; Viridiplantae; Streptophyta; Magnoliopsida; Poales; Poaceae
Description: partial small subunit ribosomal RNA
Source: RNAcentral